CUAAUGUAUUUAUUUUAGGUUUAGCCUGCCCAGUGUAAUUUUAUUAACGGCCGCGGUACUUUGACCGUGCUAAGGUAGCAUAAUCAGUUGACUUUUAAUUGAAGUCUGGAAUGAAUGGAUAAAUGGGGGUCAGCUGUCUUCAUAAAAUUUUAUUGAACUUACUCUUAAGGUGAAAAAGCCUUAACUUAAUAAAAAGACGAGAAGACCCUAGGAGCUUUAUAAUUAUUUUGUUGGGGCGACAAGGGAAAAUAUAUAGAAUAAUCUUCCCUUAAUGAUUUUCUACRCAAGACGAGUAUCUAAGAAAGAAAAAGCUACCCUAGGGAUAACAGCAUAAUUUAUUAAU
This 343-nucleotide ribosomal RNA is filed under the name Micromelo undatus (miniature melo). RNAcentral describes it as "partial large subunit ribosomal RNA". The record is from RNAcentral. Lineage: Eukaryota; Metazoa; Mollusca; Gastropoda; Aplustridae.